RNAcentral lists this ribosomal RNA (1338 nucleotides) under uncultured bacterium. RNAcentral describes it as "bacterial SSU rRNA". It matches the Rfam family "Bacterial small subunit ribosomal RNA", at positions 28 to 1381 of the family's 1533-position model. The record is from RNAcentral.
AGUGAACGCUGGCGGCGUGCCUAAUACAUGCAAGUCGAACGGAGAUUAAGUAGCUUGCUAUUUAAUCUUAGUGGCGCACGGGUGAGUAAUGUAUAGCUAAUCUGCCCUACACUAGAGGACAACAGUUGGAAACGACUGCUAAUACUCUAUACUCCUGUCUUACAUAAGUUAGAUAGGGAAAGUUUUUCGGUGUAGGAUGAGGUUAUAUUGUAUCAGCUAGUUGGUGAGGUAAUGGCUCACCAAGGCUAUGACGCAUAACUGGUCUGAGAGGAUGAUCAGUCACACUGGAACUGAGACACGGUCCAGACUCCUACGGGAGGCAGCAGUAGGGAAUAUUGCUCAAUGGGGGAAACCCUGAAGCAGCAACGCCGCGUGGAGGAUGACACUUUUCGGAGCGUAAACUCCUUUUGUUAGGGAAGAAUAAUGACGGUACCCAACGAAUAAGCACCGGCUAACUCCGUGCCAGCAGCCGCGGUAAUACGGAGGGUGCAAGCGUUACUCGGAAUCACUGGGCGUAAAGGACGCGUAGGCGGAUUAUCAAGUCUCUUGUGAGAUCCUAUGGCUUAACCAUAGAACUGCUUGGGAAACUGAUAAUCUAGAGUGAGGGAGAGGCAGAUGGAAUUGGUGGUGUAGGGGUAAAAUCCGUAGAGAUCACCAGGAAUACCCAUUGCGAAGGCGAUCUGCUGGAACUCAACUGACGCUAAUGCGUGAAAGCGUGGGGAGCAAACAGGAUUAGAUACCCUGGUAGUCCACGCCCUAAACGAUGUAUACUAGUUGUUGCUAAGCUAGUCUUGGCAGUAAUGCACCUAACGGAUUAAGUAUACCGCCUGGGGAGUACGGUCGCAAGAUUAAAACUCAAAGGAAUAGACGGGGACCCGCACAAGCGGUGGAGCAUGUGGUUUAAUUCGAAGAUACGCGAAGAACCUUACCCGGACUUGAUAUCUAACAAAUCAUCCAGAGAUGGAAGAGUGUCUGCUUGCAGAAAUGUUAAGACAGGUACUGCACGGCUGUCGUCAGCUCGUGUCGUGAAAUGUUGGGUUAAGUCCCGCAACGAGCGCAACCCACGUCAUUAGUUGCUAACAGUUCGGCUGAGCACUCUAAUGAGACUGCCUUCGUAAGGAGGAGGAAGGUGUGGACGACGUCGAGUCAUCAUGGCCCUUAUGUCCGGGGCGACACACGUGCUACAAUGGCAUAUACAAUGAGAAGCAAUAUCGCGAGAUGGAGCAAAUCUAUAAAAUAUGUCCCAGUUCGGAUUGGAGUCUGCAACUCGACUCCAUGAAGCCGGAAUCGCUAGUAAUCGUAGAUCAGCCAUGCUACGGUGAAUACGUUCCCGGGUCU